This 497-nucleotide ribosomal RNA is filed under the name uncultured bacterium. RNAcentral's name for it is "partial 16S ribosomal RNA". It matches the Rfam family "Bacterial small subunit ribosomal RNA", at positions 28 to 507 of the family's 1533-position model. The record is from RNAcentral.
GAUGAACGCUGGCGGCGUGCCUAAUACAUGCAAGUCGAGCGAACAGACGAGGAGCUUGCUCCUCUGACGUUAGCGGCGGACGGGUGAGUAACACGUGGAUAACCUACCUAUAAGACUGGGAUAACUUCGGGAAACCGGAGCUAAUACCGGAUAAUAUAUUGAACCGCAUGGUUCAAUAGUGAAAGACGGUUUUGCUGUCACUUAUAGAUGGAUCCGCGCCGCAUUAGCUAGUUGGUAAGGUAACGGCUUACCAAGGCAACGAUGCGUAGCCGACCUGAGAGGGUGGUCGCCCACCCUGGAACUGGGCCACGGUCCAGACUCCUACGGGACGCAGCAGAAGGGAAUCUUCCGCAAUGGGCGAAAGCCUGACGGAGCAACGCCGCGUGAGUGAUGAAGGUCUUCGGAUCGUAAAACUCUGUUAUUAGUGAAGAACAAAUGUGUAAGUAACUAUGCACGUCUUGACGGUACCUAAUCAGAAAGCCACGGCUAACUACGUG